CGGUUUUGUGGGGGGUUAAAGCCUUCGAAAACGAAGAUCGUGCCUCUCAGGCGAGUGUUUGAGGGCCUGGUGUUUCCCCCCCUGAAGAGCCCCCGAGGGCCUUUAGCCCCCUGAGGCAAAUGGCUCCUGAGGUGCCGGCCUCCCGCUUAGGCCCAGGGAGGCUCUCCCGUAGCCUGACGCCAUCGGCCACCACGGCAACCAGGCGAACUCAAGUCAGACCUCUCAUUCACCAAUGGCCCUACGCGCUUAAAAGGUCAGAGAAAAGGCAGCUGAGAAGGAGCUACUAGAAGCUACCGGUUCACGGCUCUACGCUGAGGCUGGUCCAGGCUUGGUUUGCCUCGGUGCACACGGAGGAGCUCUGCGUGUGUGCACAGGCAGCUGGGAAACCAGCAGAACGUGUUCGUUCAUGAUGUGGUGUAGUAAAGGGUCUUCUGCAAUGUGCCCAUCCCUGUUUCUGUCUCCACCCUCAGCCGAGUCUGAGAGAGAAGAGGAAUGGAUUCAAACCCUCAUGAGCCUGUCAUCUUUGUACCCUAGCCUGUGGUGUGGACACCUACCACCAGUCCAUCUUUAGCUACAUGACACAGUGCAGAACAAGGCACCAAAACUAAGUUUUGCUACUUUUGCUUCUGACACAAGAUUAAUCUGAAUCACCCGACGCCAGGCAGAAAAUACGUCCCAUGUUUGGAGUGAGGUUUUUGGCUGCAGAAGAACAUAACAGUUCAAGCACUAAAAAAGAAGUAAGCUGGAAAAGUUAAUUUCUAUAAGCUGUUUCUAGCAGUAGGGUGCAAAGGAAACCAAACCUUAUGCUACCACCUUGUCUCAGUGACCCACUUAAGAACUUCUUUAAUCUACCAAUCACUUUCAGUCCCAUUUGACAGAAGCAGAGAUCCCUCAGAUAUGCCAUCCUACAAGUUUUAGUGGACAUUAACUUUCGCAUCGCCAGGGUAGCCUCGCAAAGGGAAAAACACUUUCAGUCUCUUAUGUGAGACUAUCUUUUAUCUAGAGGCAAAAACCCACCGCCCAGUCAGCUCAUGCCUAUCUUCAAGCAUGACAGGGAAGAUUCUGCCACUUGCCUGGCCAGGCAGAGAGGAAAUGAGAGAGUCGUGAGGGGAAGGGAAGGAAUGUGGAGAUGCAACGUCCAACCCCAUGGGAAACUGGAUUUCCACUCCUCAUAGAGCAGCAUGUUUCAGUGAAGACUGAGGUUCAGAGGUGGCCUUGCUGAGAUGCCUCUGAGCCUGGGGCACUGGGGACUAGCGUUUGGUCCAAGAUUAAACAUACCAAAACCAGCCAUGAAAUUCCAGUCCAGACCGAAUUCCUUACCACGGUUUUGAAAUGUGACCCUGUUUUCCGGAGAGUAUCACUGACCAUUUUUUAAAGCUCUGCAUAAAAUUGGCAAAAGCUCCCAAUGUUGCUGUUAAACUGCAAGAAGAAGUCUCAUCUGUUUUGCCUAGUUAACUUGGGGAUUGAUGCUGCCUUGCUGCUUUGUCUUUAAUGAAUAAAUUCUUCCUGUGAGAAGCUGAAUGCGUGCGCUACCAUUUUGACCAUCACCAGCCUUCGACUUGCCGGCUCUGAAGCUGUUCCUUCCCACAGUGACAUCACCUAGUGGAGGAAGUGAUUUAUUUUAGCACGAUGCAACUCCUUGUAAUUGGAGUCAUGUUGCUGCAACAGCCAUGGGCUCCCUCCGCGGUGCAGAACGUUUUGACGCAGUGCAAAGACUCCUCCUUGUGAUAACAAAAGAGAUACUGAGAGAUGUGCUCGACAGACCUCCAUCGCCGGGGUUAACGAAGUCUUGGGAACAACAUCCCAUACCUGGGACCCGAGAAGUUUGCACCCAACCACGCUCACCCUGCUGACCCCACCGUGCUCAGGGCUGUGGAGCUGCAAGCGUCAGCCCACGCCGGUAUGCGUCCACCUGGGUCCCGUUACCUACCAUAAACAACAGACUGAGAGCACUUCGGAGAAGGGCAAUGCCUUUUUCUUUUCCCUGCAAAGGAUCCCGCUCUCCUCUGGACGCCGCAGAAAGCUGCUCUGCCGUUUCCAAGGUGAUGCCUGGAGGUGAAGCCUGUUACAUAUUCUCUUGCAGGUAGCAGCAGCUGUAGCUGAGAGAUGCCCUUGGACAGGGCAUUGUUUGAAAAGAGGUAGGAAAAAGGCAGAAAGAAAAGAUCUAUUUAUAAUAAUUUUUUAAAGACCUGUAAGAAAAAAAGACAAAUUAGGGCAUUUAUUUUAUGAGAGGGUGAGUGUUUUCUAAUGCAGUUCAAGUCCUUGCACCUCAGAAUGAGCACUGUACCUUCAUUGUAAACAACAAAAUUAAUCAUUUGAUCCUCGUUUAGCUCCAUCCUCUAAUGUGAUGGUAACAAAUGUUGUUCAUGCCUAAUAUUUUGAGUUACCCGAGAAAGACUGAUUUUAAGUUUUUUCACUUUACAAAUUGAAAGGUGUAUGUUCCGUUCUAUGGGCUCCUUAGAGGAAGGGCUCACUGUGGAUGCAGCUCUUGGCCCCUUGCUGCCUCUGGGACCUCCUGAAAUCUCAGGGAACACUUUCUAAACUUUAAAACAUCUUUCUGGAAUUUCUUCUGCAGAGUUUUGCCACAAACCAAAUACCACAUUUAUUUUAAGCUUGAUUUACCCUCACUGGAGUCUUUCUGCUGACCUCCUUCAGCUCAAAAUUUCGUAACACCCUGUGGUUUUGCAAGCAGUAGAUGCUUGGUUUAAUGGCUACAUUUCAGUCAGUGUCCUAAGAAAACAAACAGAAAGCUCACCUCAGAAGAUGUUUUUUUCCUUUUCAGUUUUCCUUAUAGUAAUUCUGUGGGGAAACUGUAGAAAUACAGUGUACGCACUUGGAUGUAACGAGCAUUUCUUUAAAGCAUUAAAAUCUGUUCUUGCAGGGUAGUCUUUGAUGUCCACCUAGGUCAGACCAUCUCUUCUUCUGGGCUGCUGUCUGCCUCCAAGCAAUCAAUGCCAGAGGUUUCAGAGGAAAAUGUAUAAAGCCAGCCCCAGGCCUCAAACAUGGGCUGUUUGUAGGACACCUUUUCUUGGGGCAGUUUUGCCCAGUCCCAUAGAGUUCAAGAUGAAAUGAACGGCUGGGAGAUGGUGGGCAGUGAUACAGCAUGGAGGUCUGACUUGCUCUCUUCAGCCUGUUGAAAUGUGCCGGAGGUGGGAACAAGGGAAGGCCAGCACUAGCCUGGCCAAGGAUCUCCUGAAGUUUGGAAAACCGGGAAGGAGGAGGAUGGAUAGCGAUGAAGAGAGUUCUGGUCAUCUUCCCUCCUCCCUCCAGUCCUCACCAGGAGAGUAACACGCUGUCACGCAACCGAGCGCUCGCUGAGCUGGAGGUUUUCUCAGCCAACCUCUGUUGCAAUAGAAGACUUGCAGAGUCUGGACUGGUGUCUGUGGCUGUUUGGGCAGCAAAGAGAAUAAGUAAACCAUCCACCACAGGAGAAUCUUGUUUUGAUGUUAAGAUAUGACAAACAACAAACGUAUUAAUGUCUCUAUGAGUAGGUUGGUUUAUUCCCCUUCUUCUUGGGCACAAACCCAUGGGAGCACCCUUGCUCCCAAGGCAGGAUUUGCAGUGAGAAGACCAAGGGGACUCUCCUGUUUUGCAGGCAAGAUGCUGAACAUUACCUACAUAGCAAAGGAAGGACCCUGGAGCAAAUUUGGCAGCUCACCAUCACCUCUGUUAGCACUACUUAGCCUGGCACAGGGCGGAGACAGUGCAGCAGGGCUCUGCUGGCCCUGUGCAGCUCCAGGCUGGCCCCAUCCUGGCUCUCCCCACAGCAGGAUGGCUACCAUGCAGGAGCUGCUGCUGGCUGCGGAACGGGGCCUAAGCACCAGCGUGGGGGGCUGUGAAACCUCUGCCUCCCCAUCCAGCAGCACAACACUGCCUUAGGUCACGUAUUUGUUAUUUGUACCCAGAGAAAUCGGGGUGGGGUGCGGUAGGGAAAUAGUGGAAGUUUAUUUUCCAUGGAAAACGAUGAAAGCCACACGCAAAAUCAAAACCACACCGACCCCUGUGUUGUGCAAAUCCGAGGUUUACAGCAGCUCUGCUUUCUGGCUACAUAAGGCUCUGUGUAUUUAUUUGCUGUGCUGAGCUCCAGGCAGCACUGUGGUACAUCCAGAGGGCACAAUAUGCAUCUGAAUUAGGGUGCGAGCAUCACUCCAGCAGCACGCUGUGUAUGUAGUCACUGGCAGAUCACAGACUUAGUAUGCAUCAGUUCUAACUGGCGCAGGGAGCACCAGGGAGCACCAAAGCUGUUUCAGAAUAAAUCUCUCUCAGUGCUUACGUCUGUUCGUGAAAGUUAUGGCCUUUUAAUCUGCCUCAGAUGCACUGAACUUCUGCAACACGCUCGUUGUUGUUGAUUUAUAAUUCUUCCAAGUGCAUUGAGGGCUUGGAACAAGGUUCAAGGCAGACAGGGCAAAGGGAAAGAGGCCGCAGCAAGCAAGGGCUGAGGUCCCCACUAUUGGCAGUCACCCUCCCCAGCGUGGGCUACCUCAUCUGCUGCCGUGGGCAGCACCUGCAGGGGUGAGAUGAUGUCCUGCCCUGUCCACAGGGGCUGUUGCCAUUGCCCUGCGCCCCUUCAGCACCUGGCUGCCCACCCAGGAGUGGGCUGUGCAUCCCUAGCCUUGGGAAGCAUGAGCAAUUUUGGCACUUUGCUCAGAGAGCCAGGUUUGGCUGCCUCUAGCGUAAAUCACCAGCCAAACCUGGAGGCUUUUUUUGAGGCUGAUGGGUGAAACUGGAUCUGAACCCAGACUCCAGUUCUUCUCACCCAGCACCCCUCUGGGCCAUGCGAUUCCCUUACCUGGUCCAGCCCUGUGUUUACAGGCAGAUGCCACCGCUGGGUUGUGGAGCAAGCCACCAUCUGUGCCCAGCUCUGCUGUGAGCACAGAGCCUCAGGGCACUGGGGGAGCAGCAGUGAACACCGUGCUGCUGGUCCUGUUGUCUGAAUUGUGAAAUGCAAGUCCAGGCAAUUAAAAACUGUCGAAGAGUGUCCCUUUGGGAGCAUCCAGGUGGAAGGAGGAAGGUGAGGGAUCACAGCCAUAGCCGCUCUAGCUGACUGCUUUUCCUGCAGAUGGACAUCAUGAAGACCCCAUGUGUCCAUACAAGGGCCAGGCACACACAUGCACAGGGUGCGAGGCACACGCUGGGCCUGUUGCUUUAAACGUGCCCCGAUUACCAGUUGUAUUAUGCAAAGCGUGUUCUUACAUCACAGCUUUCUGUUCUUACAUCAGUUAUUCCAGGAAGCCUUUCGCAGCAUGAAAUCAGGUGCUAAUUAAAUUGUGGCAGCUGAUACCAGCGAGGCAUUCUCAGCAGCAGUGCUUCUGGAGAGGGGAUGUUAAAUGCAGAAAUUGUGUUAUCUCUGGUGGAUCCAAUGCUAGAGAGGAACUGAAGGGGCUGGUGGAGCCAAAGAGCAGAUUACCUGAGGACACAGCUGCCCCCGCAGGAGGUGGAGCUUAGAUUCAUAGAAUCGCCUAGGUUGGAAGGGACCUUUCAGAUCAUCUAGUUCAACCAUCAACCUAACACUGACAAAAACCAUCACUAAACCAUAGCUCUAAGCACUACGUCUACUCAUCUUUUAAAUACCUGCUUGGCACAAGUCGGCUCACCAGGCACAGGUAGAAUCAUAGAAUCACCAAAUUUUUUAGGUUGGAAAAGACCCUUAAAAUCAUUAAGUCCAACCAUUAACCCAGCACUGCCAAGUCCCCCGCUAAAUCAUGUCCCUCAG
Molecule: long non-coding RNA, 5713 nt
Organism: Calidris pugnax (ruff)
Lineage: Eukaryota; Metazoa; Chordata; Aves; Charadriiformes; Scolopacidae
Exons: 4
Source: RefSeq, a predicted model, not a curated record